Molecule: ribosomal RNA, 253 nt
Filed under: uncultured bacterium
Lineage: Bacteria
Description: partial 16S ribosomal RNA
Rfam family: Bacterial small subunit ribosomal RNA
Source: RNAcentral
UACAGAGGUCUCAAGCGUUGUUCGGAUUCAUUGGGCGUAAAGGGUGCGUAGGUGGCGCCGUAAGUCGGGUGUGAAAUUUCGGAGCUUAACUCCGAAACUGCAUUCGAUACUGCGGUGCUUGAGGACUGGAGAGGAGACUGGAAUUCAUGGUGUAGCAGUGAAAUGCGUAGAGAUCAUGAGGAAGACCAGUGGCGAAGGCGGGUCCCUGGACGAUACCUGACACUGAGGCACGAAAGCCGGGGGAGCAAACAGG